Molecule: ribosomal RNA, 99 nt
Organism: Fukomys damarensis (Damara mole-rat)
Lineage: Eukaryota; Metazoa; Chordata; Mammalia; Rodentia; Bathyergidae
Source: Ensembl
GUCUAGGGCCAUACCUCCCUGAACGCACCUGAUCUCGGAAGCUAAGCAGGGUUAGGCCUGGCUAGUACUUGAAUGGGAGAAACUAAACUGUGUAAGACA